Molecule: ribosomal RNA, 254 nt
Filed under: uncultured bacterium
Lineage: Bacteria
Description: partial 16S ribosomal RNA
Rfam family: Bacterial small subunit ribosomal RNA
Source: RNAcentral
UACGGAAGGUGCAAGCGUUAGUCGGAAUUACUGGGCGUAAAGGGUGCGUAGGCGGGAAUGUAAGUCGGUUGUGAAAUUCCGGAGCUCAACUUCGGAGCUGCAAUCGAAACUGCGUUUCUCAGAGGAAUGGCGGAGAGAAUGGAAUUCCAUAUGUAGCGGUGAAAUGCGUAGAUAUAUGGAAGAACACCUGUGGCGAAAGCGGUUCUCGAGCCUCCUCCUGACGCUGAGGCACGAAAGCAAGGGGAGCAAACAGG